ACGUUUCAUGAUCAUUAGACUCAUGCGAUUUGAGCGUUCCCACUUCUCCAUCUCCUUCUUUUGAUUAGAAGAAGAUGUAUCCUCAAGAGAAGCAGGUUUCUCAAUCCGAAGUGCAAUGUCUAGAUCCAUGCAACCAAGAACGAUAAUAAUGUUCUCUUUCCAUUCCUUAAAGUUUGUGCCGUUAAGCACAGGGUUGCUGUUAAUGUUUGAAGAUAUCGUAGCAGCUGAAGAAUUCACUGAAUAUAGAACAAGGAUAACUUAAUACAUGCUUACAAUUACUUGAACUUUAACUUUAGUUUACAGAUUCAAAAUAGGCAN
Molecule: long non-coding RNA, 318 nt
Filed under: Nicotiana benthamiana
Lineage: Eukaryota; Viridiplantae; Streptophyta; Magnoliopsida; Solanales; Solanaceae
Description: long non-coding RNA (NBEN_LNC041810)
Source: RNAcentral